UCUCAAGCUCCUGGUAAUGUGUCUCUGUCUCUUUGAUAAGCGAAAGGACCUUGUUAUUCAUUUUUUUUUUUUUUUUUUUAUAGGACCUUGUUAUUCAUUGUAACAAAAUAAAAUUUGGGUUUUCUAAUUUGAAAAUGUAUAAGUUAAAAUAUUAAAAACAGUUGCAGAAACAACAUUAUAUGAAUGUGAUUAAGUUUUUGACCACAGUGAGCACGAGUGUGCACCAUGCUUUGUAUGCAGGUGAGGGAGUGAUACAGCAGAUUUGUCAGAGUAUUGUGGUACCAAAGGUGAGGUUGAGGGAGGAGGACGAGGAACUCUUUGGAAAUGAAUUAUGUUGAGUUCAUUCGGAGGGAUAUUGAGGGUAGUGAUCUUGAUACUAGGAGGAGAAUUGCGUGUGAGCUUCUUAAAGGGAUUGCGACCAAUUAUAAGCAACAGGUCACCGAGAUAGUUUCUGCACAGAUUCAGCAUUUGUUAACUUCGCUUGCUGCAAACCCAGUUACAAAUUGGAAGGAUAAGGACUGUGCCAUAUACUUAGUUGUCUCCCUUGCUACUAAGAAGGCUGGGGGUAGUUUGGUCUCGACAGAUCUUGUUGAUGUUCAGAGUUUUUUUGCUUCAAUUAUUGUGCCGGUGUUGUCAAGGGUCAGGAUGUGAAUGGGUUUCCAAUGCUUAAGGCAGGUGCACUGAAAUUCUUUACAAUGUUCAGGAAUCAAAUAUCAAAGGAUGUUAUAGUUCAGAUUUUCCAAGAUUUGGUUCGGUUCCUUGUUGCGGAAUCAAAUUUAGUUCAUUCUUAUGCUGCAAGUUGUAUUGAGAAACUGUUGCUGGUCAAGGAUGAGGGGGGAAGAUCUAGGUAUACUGCAAAUGACGUUGCUCCAUUUUUUGUUGAGCUGAUGAUCAACCUAUUUAAUGCCUUCAAAUUUCCAGAGUCCGAGGAGAAUCAAUAUAUAAUGAAGUGUAUCAUGCGGGUUCUUGGGGUAGCAGAAAUACACCUAUUGUGAUGCGUGUUAUUCUUGCAUCAAUCCGUGGGACUGUGAUGGAGCUUGGAAAUACACCUAUUGUGACUUCUAGGCUAGUGAUGCAACUCUUGGCUGGGUCCAAGUUCAUUGAAGUGGACAACAGUUUCUGCGAGGAUCGUGCCCUCUUAAAUGGGGCACAAAAGUUGUUAGGCAUCCUGAUUGCUGUUGGUCUUGCAGUUGGUCCUGCGAAGGUCUGGGUCACCAGGAGUCCAGCCUCAGAUGUGCCCUUGAGGAAGCCAUGUUUCUUAAAAGAACUUUUGUCAUGCCUUCUAGGAUGUGCAUCAAUCCUAUACAUAACAAGAAAGGAAUCCUUCAUCAUUCCGAUAACAGAAGUUCAAAGGAAAGGUGGGCAGCAAGCUCUUGUGCCAUGGACUCUUUGUAUGAUAUGGACCUCAUAUCUGAUACUGUACCUGUAAUUUUAGACAAUUCAAAACUAUGGUAUCAAGUACUAUCUACGAGUAUGAAGCUAGGACCUAGGGGAGUUGCCCACGUGGAAGGAAUUAAUCGUGUUGAUCUUAAAGAGGACAGUCACUACUCAAAUCUCUUGCUCAUAAACCGAACUGCAAGCUGUCUUUCAUGUAUCUUGUUCAGUACAUUCACCUGAGAUUAAUUCAGGCUAUUUGAUUUCGCCAUUCCCUGUCUUCCAUAUGAAGUGUUAGAAUUGAAAAGUACAUGUCUUAAAAUAUGCCAUGCUCGUCGUGGUGAUAAAAUAAAAAACAGCAAGGACAGAUUUGGAGUUGAAAGAAGCCUGCAUCCCCAUCUGGAUAGGGAUACACGUCCUGAGUUUAUCUAACGUAGAAUUAAAAAGGGGAUCCCACCUGGACGAACUAUUUUUAUUGCUUCCAAUGAGAGGACUCGUGGAUUUUUUUCCCCUCUCUCUGUCAGGUACAAAUGGCCAUAUUCAUCAAACUAUAGCUGGAUUCUGGAUCCUUUGAUUAAGAACAACUACCAGUUGUUCAUUGUUGAGAGGGUUAUCAUAAUGGGAGCCAAAACAUCCAUUAAAACAUUCAAGGAGGAUGAAACUGUACUCAGCCUCACUGAUGACCCAAAGAAGAACACCAAAUCGUGGCAAAUACCU
Quercus robur (English oak) is the source of this 2091-nucleotide RNA transcript. RefSeq lists it as uncharacterized. Lineage: Eukaryota; Viridiplantae; Streptophyta; Magnoliopsida; Fagales; Fagaceae. The record is from RefSeq and is a predicted model, not a curated record. The transcript has 6 exons.